This is a non-coding RNA of Acanthosepion pharaonis, 95 nucleotides long. Lineage: Eukaryota; Metazoa; Mollusca; Cephalopoda; Sepiida; Sepiidae. The record is from the annotation of a GenBank genome assembly.
CGUUGAAGCACAGUUUCCCGUACGAUCACUGUAGUUAAGCAACGUCGGGCCGGGACAGUACGUAGAUGAAUGACCACUUGCGAAUACCAACUGCU